This 492-nucleotide ribosomal RNA is filed under the name uncultured bacterium. RNAcentral's name for it is "partial 16S ribosomal RNA". It matches the Rfam family "Bacterial small subunit ribosomal RNA", at positions 29 to 507 of the family's 1533-position model. The record is from RNAcentral.
AGUGAACGCUGGCGGUAGGCCUAACACAUGCAAGUCGAACGGCAGCACAGUAAGAGCUUGCUCUUACGGGUGGCGAGUGGCGGACGGGUGAGGAAUACAUCGGAAUCUACUUUUUCGUGGGGGAUAACGUAGGGAAACUUACGCUAAUACCGCAUACGACCUACGGGUGAAAGCAGGGGAUCUUCGGACCUUGCGCGAUUGAAUGAGCCGAUGUCGGAUUAGCUAGUUGGCGGGGUAAAGGCCCACCAAGGCGACGAUCCGUAGCUGGUCUGAGAGGAUGAUCAGCAAAACUGGAACUGGAAAACGGUCCAGCCUCCUACGGGGGGCAGAAGUGGGGAAUAUUGGAAAAUGAGGGCAAGCUUGAUCCAGCAAUACGGCGUGGGUGAGGAAGGCCUUCGGUUUGUAAAGCCCUUUUGUUGGGAAAAAAAAGCAGCAGGUUAAUACCCCGCUGUUCUGACGGUACCCAAAGAAUAAGCACCGGCUAACUUCGUG